RNAcentral lists this ribosomal RNA (301 nucleotides) under uncultured bacterium. RNAcentral's name for it is "partial 16S ribosomal RNA". It matches the Rfam family "Bacterial small subunit ribosomal RNA", at positions 509 to 807 of the family's 1533-position model. The record is from RNAcentral.
CAGUCGCCGCGGUAAUACGAGGGGGGCAAGCGUUGUUCGGAAUUAUUGGGCGUAAAGGGUGCGUAGGCGGCUUGACAAGUCUUGUGUGAAAUCUAUGGGCUCAACCCAUAGUCUGCACGGGAAACUGUCGGGCUUGAGAAUGGGAGAGGUGAGUGGAAUUUCCGGUGUAGCGGUGAAAUGCGUAGAUAUCGGAAGGAACACCUGUGGCGAAAGCGGCUCACUGGACAUUUACUGACGCUGAUGCACGAAAGCUAGGGGAGCAAACAGGAUUAGAUACCCCGGUAGUCCCUGUCUCUUAUAC